AACAUCGCGCACCUGCGGGAACCUGCGGAAGGAUCAUUACAGAGUUGCAAAACUCCCUAAACCACUGUGAACGUUACCUAAACCGUUGCUUCGGCGGGCGGCCCGGGUCCUUCCCGGCGCCCCUCGGCCCUCGCGGGCGCCCGCCGGAGGUAAACCAAACUAUUGCAUUGUAUGGCCUCUCUGAGUCUUCUGUACUGAAUAAGUCAAAACUUUUAGCAAUGGAUCUCAGAUCGGAAGAGC
RNAcentral lists this unclassified non-coding RNA (240 nucleotides) under soil metagenome. Its description in RNAcentral is "partial contains 5.8S ribosomal RNA, internal transcribed spacer 2, and large subunit ribosomal RNA". The record is from RNAcentral.